RNAcentral lists this ribosomal RNA (254 nucleotides) under uncultured bacterium. RNAcentral describes it as "partial 16S ribosomal RNA". It matches the Rfam family "Bacterial small subunit ribosomal RNA", at positions 524 to 776 of the family's 1533-position model. The record is from RNAcentral.
UACGGAGGGGGCAAGCGUUGUUCGGAUUUACUGGGCGUAAAGGGCGCGUAGGCGGCCACCGCAAGUCGACUGUGAAAUCUCCGGGCUUAACCCGGAAAGGUCAGCCGAUACUGCGGGGCUAGAGUGCAGAAGGGGCAACUGGAAUUCUCGGUGUAGCGGUGAAAUGCGUAGAUAUCGAGAGGAACACCUGCGGCGAAGGCGGGUUGCUGGGCUGACACUGACGCUGAGGCGCGAAAGCUAGGGGAGCGAACGGG